AAAAAGGUAAGCUAAGAUAUAAGCUAAUGGGUUCAUACCCCGUAAAUAGGAUUGUCCUCCUUUUUA
This 66-nucleotide transfer RNA is filed under the name Anabrus simplex (Mormon cricket). RNAcentral describes it as "tRNA-Met". The record is from RNAcentral. Lineage: Eukaryota; Metazoa; Arthropoda; Insecta; Orthoptera; Tettigoniidae.